Aegilops tauschii subsp. strangulata is the source of this 3958-nucleotide long non-coding RNA. RefSeq lists it as uncharacterized. Lineage: Eukaryota; Viridiplantae; Streptophyta; Magnoliopsida; Poales; Poaceae. The record is from RefSeq and is a predicted model, not a curated record.
AUAGUUCUUUCCUUCUCUCCUCUCAGCUAGGGUUCCCACCACCGCCGCUGCCGCCGCCACCCUCACCAGCGCUCGUGCUUCGUAUCCCGUCCCGAGCUCCACCUAUCAUCCAACGCCGUCUCCCGCCGCCGGCGUCUGGCAGCGCGUUGGCGCCGCCGCGGCCACGCUACUUGAGGCGGUCCUUGUCGCCGUCGCGUUGGGGCGCCAGCGCCUCCGCCGCAGGGCUCCGGUCGAAGGGAUCCCCGCGCUGGAGGACGGCUGCACGGUCGCUCACGGCAAAGGGAGCGAGGCAGUCGAUGGCCUGACGGACCUCAUCAUCGUCGGAGCCGGGGUGGCCGGAUCCUAAUUUCUUCACUUUCUUCCUUUGCCAUGUUCCUCCACCCUGCAGGUGUAAUUUCUUCAUUUUCUAUGAAAGCAUUCACAUCUAUUUUUCCAGUUUCUCCCGUCGGGAUUUCUGAUUUUGGUUCUGAAGUGUGGAGGUGGAUGUUACUUGGUUUUGUGGGGAAAAGAAAUAUAGUCAACUAACUCCGUAGUGAUGAAACCUUAGUAUCUGGGAUGAAGACCCAGCAUGAUCUGCGCCGCAUCUAUUCGUAAUGGAAUUUGUGUUAAUAGCCAUAUAAGAAUGGCCACAGUAGGAAUAUCUGUUGAUGUCUACCUUACUUAAAUCUGUCCUGAUCUUCGGUGUGCAUUGUGGGGCGAAAGUUUGCUUUUGUAUGUGGUGUGCAACAACAAUUAAAAAUAUGGGCUGCUGAUUCAUGGAAAAUAUGUGAUCAAACUCUGUGCAAUAUGCCACGGCAUUGGACCUGACCUAGCAUAAAUGAUUAUUAAUUGCAAUAUUUUACUUGUAGACUGAUUUUACAAGAUAAAUCAAAUAGCUGAUAGAUAAUUUAUCCUAUUAAGCCUAUUCAAAUACAGUGUUGCUUGUUUUGGUUUCCUUAUCUGUCAGCUGCUUUGUUCGAUUGCUUGGCCUCGCUUUUGUCGAUCGGCAAGGUGAGAUGUGCUCUCAUGGCUUUACUUCGUUGAUUCGUUCUAUAUUGUAAAAAGGUGCUCUCUGUUUGUUCCUGGUUCCCUUUGGUUCGCUUGCUCCUUGCUUGUUGGAGGAUGUGUUUGUGCGUUCUGGCUCAUGUGCAUGCUCGUGUGGUGUCAUCAGUUUUCAGUGCGCUGCAGUCCCUGUUUAGUUUGGUUCUUUGGGUGUCACUUGUGCAUGUGUCGGUCUAUCCAAUGAUUACUGUAAACCACCAGCCAAUGGUUGCUGCUUGCUGACUAUAGGCAUGGUGACUGUUUCAGUUGGUGCUUUGGAAAGGAUGGAUGCAGUGGGUGGUGCUUGUUGCUUUGUGAUGAUGGCCGUCUACUAAUGUUUAAUCUCUGUGUUUUGUAAAGCAACUAUACCCCCUGCUCAUUGUUUUAUAUGGAUGAUGUGCUCUAUGAGUUACCUGCUUGUUGUUUUUAUGCACUUCUCUUAAUUCAUUUUUCCCCUUUAUAGUCCACUGAUUCAUCUAUAGUAUACUGCUAGGUUCUUCGCUUGACUGGAUUGUAGGUGGCCUUGUGUGCUCUCGUUUCGUUUUCAGCUGAGUGCUCUUUGUCAGCUGCUCUGCUUGCCGUGGUUUGCCCUUGCUCUCCUAAAUCCCCUAUUACUCACAAAUUUUCAUGUUCAGUACGUGUUUCAGUUUCAUUUCUUGAUUUAUUUCCCUGCUUGCAUUUAUAUCAUCUAUCUCACUUCAGUUUCACCCUCUUUGACUGCUACACUGAACGCAUGUAUAUCACACUGACGUACUUAAGAUUCACGUAUUUAAAUAUGUGUGGUCUGGUUAUGUGUAUCACAUGUCUUUUACCAUUUGAGUUUCACAUUUGAUUCCUUUCAUUUCCAGUGUGAUACAUAAAUGAUUGGGGCUUUCCAAUUUGGUGCUGAAAUUUAAGCAGCCACUUCAAUUUAGUGCUAUUCGGCACUGAGAUGCAAUGUAACCAAUUACAGAGCUUUAAUUCAUGGUAGACAAAAAUCGCAGAAUGGUGCAUGUUGUGAUUAAUCAAGUCUUUGGCUUCCCAACGAUGUAUUAUUGGGUCACUUGUGUAGUGUUUAACAUGCCCAUGGGAAUCAAUCAUGUGAUCCUGUGGCUUUCGUGUUGUUCACCUCACCACAUUUGAUGGAUGUCCGGGAGUGGUUCUGGCUACAUGGGUAAUUUAUUCAUCCAUUGUUCUUGUUCUUAUUUGUUUCUUAUGGUGUUGCUAAGUGUACUCAUAAUUAUUCAAAAUUACAUGUAAAUAUGUUUUGCCAUCCUUUAAGUUUAUCAUUUUUUUCCCACUGAAAACUGUAGGGCAAUUAUAACGUUGUCUUUUGUAUUAGUUAUGCGCUUAUCCUGCUAUGUAGGUAUAGGAGUUACAUAUUUCGAAUUCGCGCGUGUUAGUUACACAGGUAAGUUUUGCCUUACAAGUAACAUGCUUUCUAGAAUCUUGCUUCCUUUUUAUCAGUUAUUUUGCACUCCGUCUCACUAGAAUCUUGCUUCCUUUUUGUAAUGACUACGUAUUUUGCACUCCGUCUCACACCUUCUUUUCUUUCAUUGGAUCUUACUCUCAAGUUGUCCAAGGUAAUGAUUUUCAUUACCUCACUGCCCUUAGGAGGGGCUCAUCACAUUUGCUCCUGAUUCCAUGUUGCCAUUUCUAUACAUUAUUUUUGGUUAAUCAAUUUUUGUUCUUCUGACCAGUGCCACUAUUGGCAACUAUCUUCAGUGCUUCUCAAAUGAUGAUAAUUAAAUAAACCUCCCUUGCAAAGAUGGAAAAGACCAUUUAAUUGUUAAUUAGAAGUUGGGAGAAUAUUGUAACCAUUCGCUGGCAGGUUGAUCAAAGAGUUGUCAUCAUGAUUAUUCGCUUAUUUUAAUAUCAAACAUUUUGAGGUAUAUCAAUCAUGGUAAGUUUCUCAGCCUCUUCACAUUGCACGCAUAAUAUCUUUUGCUUUCCUAGGAAUAUGAUAAAUCCAUGACUUAGGAUAAACACUGAUAUGUUGAGAUCCCUACUUUUACUAAUAUCCUACUUCUACUGAUGCCAGUUUCAACUGAUAUGUAUUCAUGGCUUAAGAUGAACGAUACAUUAUGCAUUGCAUAUGAACCAUAAUUUUGCUGCAGCUUUAGUUGAUAAUCGACAACAAAAUAUUUCUAUAGUAAUUUGUUGAAUUCUGGAGUAAGCAUGAAAUGCAUUUGCAUGACCUGAGAUUCGCCAAUGUGCUCCUAUUUUUCAAAUAGGCAGGAAUGAAAAGGUGGUUCAGAAUUGAUGGAUAUUCUCCCCCAUGCUUGUUUACUUGUGGCCAUGUUUGUUGCUUAUAUCUCCAUACUUAUGUGUAUUAAUCAGACAUUUGCUCUUUUCUGUUUGUAGACAACUGGAGUGUGUCCUUUGCAUUCACUGCACAUCAGUGCAGUCCAAAUAUUAUAUGCAAUCAAGAAAAACGGAAAAUAUUAAAUAUUACGAGUCAGAUAUCAGCUGCUGGUGUCAGGCAGUGGGCAAAUGGAGAAUGGAGACGAUGACGCCGCGGUCCAUGGAGCUGUUCGUGACGCACGAUCACGCGGCGAAGGAGCAAGCGGAUUCUCAGCUGACAUGGUUGCAGCUGGAGGAACACCCCGCGUGGUUGAGCAGGGGCACACUUUUGAGAGGUUCGUGUACUUUGUGAGCACAUUGGACAUGCUGGAGAUGGUGAAUAUAUUCUAUGCUAAAAUGUUUCAUCUAGAUGGGGCUAACAAACGUCAAACCUAACUCAUGCCCAUAUAUAUAUAUCUCAUGUAGUGAACUCUAGAUGGAGCCUUGGUAAUACUUUUGUGUGUGAUACUGAUAUCCCACGUACUGAAUUUCAAGCCUUCGAAUGCUCUUGUGUCACAUAUAGCUUCUCUUUGUUAGCUUCAUUUCCUUUUGGAUUUGGAUUGUCUAACUGAAUUAUGCUCUGUGUGACUCUAAUCACAUAUACUACUUCCUAUAA